Nerophis lumbriciformis (worm pipefish) is the source of this 7109-nucleotide non-coding RNA. The record is from RefSeq and is a predicted model, not a curated record. Lineage: Eukaryota; Metazoa; Chordata; Actinopteri; Syngnathiformes; Syngnathidae.
AGCAUUGUUGCUCAAAUCAAACGUAUGGGUUAUGUGCGAUGAUUGUGAUUAUGUACAUUAGGUUUUGGAGGGUGUCUCAACCGGGACCGGAAGAAGAGGAGAGGCCGGCAGGUAGCGCGCAAUCAACAAGUAAAGAAAUACUGCUAGCAAGUGGUUGUUUGGUUCCGACAAAUAAGAGCCAGUUAUGACAAAAAAAGUUUUCAAAAGUCUGCGCGUUGGAAUUCAGUGACGCUGCACGUCCAGCAGAUGGCACUGUGGUGAAACGCGUUGCACCAUGGCAACAGUUGGACCACGGACCAGACUAUUCUACUGAUGUAAAAUAUACAAACAAGAUGCAAGUCGACCAACGCUCUCCUCUCCUCACCUGGGACGGACGUCCCGAGCGCCACGAAGACCACGGCGGUGACCGAGUCCUUGAGGCCGAUGGUGCAGCCGAAGUGAGACGCCAGGUCGCCGAUGACGGCCGUCAGCAGGCCGAUGAUGACGAUGGACACCACGAAGCACGCCCAGCCGUUCAUGUAGUCGGUGGGCGGCACGCAGGCGAACAGAACCUUCCAGAAGACCGUCAGGAAGUGCAUGACGUAGUCGAAGCAGGACGGGAGACGCUCCUCGCCCGCGUCGUCCUCUUCCUCAUCUGGUGGAGGAGAAACCCUUUACAUGCCAGCUGUUGUGCUAAAAAGACGACAAGGCGAUGGAAGAUCUCCUCGGCGUCCCGUCAGGACGUCUCCAGGCGUGUCAGCGAUGGAGCUCCUCAGGUGGAGGAGAAUCAGGAAGAAGAAGACGUUAUUCCAAGUGUCAGGCCACGAGAGCCGCAUGCAUUUUUCAAGCCCAGGGUGCCUCAUGAAAAAAUCAGAGUGCCACUCCAUUCAAUAUUUCAUGGCGGGAGUGACAAUCGCUGGCCUUCACGCGCCCGCUACACGCCGGCCGCGAUGGCGGCGGUGGCGCUGCAGGCCGCAGGAAGCUGAGAUGACGGCGGUGUGCGUGACGCCAUGGAUGACUUUUUCUUCCUCCCUACGAGCGCUCUGCUGUCCGAGAAGAUUCUCGCAACAAAGCUGGAUUCUUUUUGGAGGCUGAAAUGUGAGUCAGCAGCUUUCAUGACUAAGUGUAAAAAAGACUUCUAACGCAGACAUUCAGCCAAUCAGAGGCAAGAACACAGGCUCUCAUGUACCGAUCACUACCUAAAAAGACCAGAUAAGUAUCACAGGACACAAUACCACAAAGUACUGCGUCAGACAGCCAAAUUACUUGAAUGUACUUGCAUGUGACCACGCUCGCCAACCUCCAUUUUUUAACACACAUAGUAGAUGGCUAGAGGAAUCAUCUGUUCCAGGGUCAAACUGUGGCCGUGAUGAAAGCUUAUUUAGUACAAAUUGUCACACCGCGGUGAGGGAAGUCUUGUCUUGGGUUUUUCUGUCUUGUGAUCUACAUGUUUUAUUUUGAAAAGCAACUCCUCUUGUUUCAGAUCACGGGUCCUUCCUCUUGUGUCACCAGUCUGACGUCAUUCCUGACCCUUGAUUGUUUCCACCUGUUUCCCAUUACCCUCAUGUUCUUUAUAAGCCCAAGCCUCCCCUUGUUCUGUGCCAGAUUGUCUCGAGCUUUCGUGCCUGUCUUGCGUUCCAUGUCCCUGUUCCAUGUCCAUGCCUUGCCUUGUCUCACGUCUACGUCCUUGCUCCCAGAAUAUCCCACGCUGUAAUUUUGAAUUGACUUUUUUCCUCCCUCAGAGCAACUUUUGUUAUCCUACCUUUUUUCUACCGCAGUGGUGAGUUAUUAUUUUUCCUUAAAGAUUUUUUCCUCAAAGUUUGUUGAGUGAUUUUUUGUUUACAUUGAUUAGAGUAGUUAAGUUUUAUAGUCUUUAUUUUCUUCCUCCUGUUUGGAGCGUUUUUUGUUAAAGUUUUUGAUAACAGAUACGGUGCUAAUUAUACCAUCCUUAUUUUUGUAUUCCUCCUUUUUUUUGGAGUGAUUUUCGGUUUUUCCCUUUUGGAACAUUUUGUCGAUAGUAUUUUUGUAUUUCAUAGUAAUUGAAUUUACUCGGCUCUGGAGGCUUAAAAAGUAUUUCAAAAUAAAAGCUUUAUUUGGAAUCACCUCUCUGCAUCUGAGUCCCUUCCUCCGUCCAAGCCUGACACAAAUGAAGUCAGAUUUUCAGCUAAUGAUAAUGUGAUUGUUUUCUUUGGCUUUUUAGCGGACUCGAGUGUGCAAGCGACACAUUUGAACAUUAUGAAUGUUCAAAUGUGACUUAAAACAUUGUGUGGCAUUUAUCAUGGCCACAGUUUGACACUGGAACAGAUCAUUUACAGUAAAUUUGCAAAAUUCUCUAUGGGGGAAAUUCUACAUUUGAACAAUCUGGAGGUUGAGCAAGGUCUAACUGAACUAUGAGCUCGCAUGUACUUCACUUACCUUAUAGAAGUUCCAUCAUAUACAUUCAUAUAUUUAUUGUUAACUUCAUGCAGCUCUGCCGUAUCGCUCAGUAUCUAAAAGUAUCCUCCUCUAUCUUAAAGUACCUUCCCAGCAGGCACAAAACACACACGUCCUUUUAAACUGACUUUGAAACAACGUUGCAAAAUAGUUGUAUUUAUAAACUGGAUGUCUAACGUUGGACCCACGUUGUUGUUUGGGAAAUGACCAAAUUUCGAUGGUCAAAUCAGCAUUGAUUAAAAGUAGUCAAAAAGCAUGUUGUUUCAACGUUAGGUUUGAGUUGCUCAACGUCAGGACCUAAUUCAACAAGUUCUCAACGUUGUUUUAAUGUUUUGUUCCUGCUGGCCAAAAGUAUAUUCCAGUAUCUUAAAAUACCCUCCUGUAUCUUAAAGUAUCUUCCAUGAUCUUCCAGUAUCUUAAAGUACCUCUCCCAGUACCUUAUAGCAUCUUCCAGAAUACAAAAGUACCUCGUAGUAUCUUCUAGUAUUUUAAAGUACCUUCCAGUAUUUUAAAGUAUAUUGCAGUAUCUUAAUGUACCUUCCUGUAUCAUAAAGUAUGUUUCUGUAUCUUAAAGUACAAACGUACAUCCCGUAUCUUAAAGUGUCUUCCAGUAUCCUAGAGUAUCUUCCGGUAUCCUAAAGUAUCUUCCAGUAUAUUAAAGUACCUUCUAGUAUCUUCAAAGUAUCUUCCAGUACCCUAAAGUAUCUUCCAGUAUCCUAAAGUAUCUUCCAGUAUCUUAGAAGUGUCUUCCAGUAUCUCAAAGCAUCUUCCAGUAUCCUAAAGUAUCUUACAGUAUCUUAAAGCAUCUUUUUAAAGUAUCUUCCAGUAUCCUAAAGUAUCUUUAUGUAUCUUCCAGUACCCUUAAGUAUAUUCCAGUAUCCUAAAGUAUCUUAAAGCAUCUUCCAGUAUCUUAAAGCAUCUUCCGGUAUCCUAAAGUAUCUUCCGGUAUCCUAAAGUAUCUUCAAGGAUCUUAAAGCAUCUUCCAGUAUCUUAAAGCAUCUUCUAGUAUCUUAAAGUAUAUUUAUCUUAUGGUAUCCUAAAGUAUCUUCUAGUAUCUUUCAGUAUCUUAAAAGUAUCUUCCAGUACCCUAAAGUAUCUUCCAGUACCCUAAAGUAUCUACCAGUAUCUUAAAGCAUCUUAUAGUAUCUUAAAGUAUCUUCCAGUAUCCUAAAGUAUCUUCUAGUAUCUUCCAGUACCCUUAAGUAUAUUCCAGUAUCCUAAAGUAUCUUACAGUAUCCUAAAGUAUGUUCUAGUUUCUUCAAAGUAUCUUCCAGUACGCUAAAGUAGCUUCCAGUAUUCUAAAGUAUCUUCCAGGAUCUUAAAGUAUCUUCCAGUACCAUAAAGUAUCUUCCAGUAUCUAAAGGCAUCUUCCAGUAUCUUAAAGCAUCUUCCAGUAUGUUAAAGCAUCUUACAGUAUCUUCCAGUACCCUAAAGUGUCUUCCAGUAUCCUAAAGUAUCGUCUAGUAUCUUCCAGUAUCCUAAAGUAUUUUCUAUUAUCUUCAACGUAUCUUCCAGUAUCUUAAAGCAUCUUCCAGUAUCUUAUAGUAUAUUCCUGUACCCUAAAGUAUCUUCCAGUAUCCUAAAGUAUCUUCCAAUAUCUUAAAGUAUUUUCCAGUAUCUUCCAGUACCUGCACUGACGGUGAUGGCCUCCAUGAACUGUUCUCUCCAAGAGUUGGUUCCCACCACCAGAGCCAGGAAGAUUUUGUCUUGACCCGAGAUCUACAAAGCGGAGAGGAAGCAGGACCUGACCUCCCCCUCCAGGCACCUUUUCCUUGAACUGUUUUGUGACCAAAGGCAGCGGCUGUUUACGACCCCCUUCCUUUAGAAACAUCUGUUGCCAUGUAAUCAGGGAAAGUCCAAAUAAAAGAGGAGGCGUACAAUCUUUCGUCAGAGCGUGGUGGGACACUGUUCAAGAGUACAGCCCAGACGUUUCUCCUCAAUUGAGCUAAAUUUUAAUUCUGUCUCUGUUUAAUUCCUUGCUUCUUGUCUUGUUUAAUAGAUGUCAUCAGUGUUUGAACCUGACAAGCGGUACUUUAACUUUAACUUUUAUAACAUGUUAUUAUAUUACGCCAUAUUGUCAUGUUAUCGUAACAUAAUCUCGUCAUGGUAUCAUAACAUGAUCUCGUCAUGUCAUCAUGUCCUCGUGUAAUCAUGUCAUCAUAACACAAUGUCAUUAUGAUUUCAUAACAUAAUGUCAUGUUAUCGUGUAAUCAUGUCAUCAUGUAAUCAUGUUAUCAUGUCAACUAUCUGGCCUACAUUUGGACCGUCAGAACACUCAGAACCCUCCUCCCAAGUCCCCCUCCACCACGGAGUGGGGGCAGGGGGUGUGAUGGGGGUGGUGAUAAGGAAAUGAGUUAAUCUGGGUCCAAUUAGUACGCUAAGUGAUUCAAUAGAAGUCACCAAAUAGGUCCUGAGGGUCUGGGAUUGGACACGGCGUGGAAUCCGGACGCUGUCUUCCAUCUGACAAGGUGUGAUGUUGUUAUGUGGACUUAAACAAGGAACGGUCAAAAGGCGGUAGGCACAUUUAAACUUAUUUGAUAACGUUUGAAGUCGUAUGCCAACGUUGGGAGUUUAACAUGACAUCAUUAUGAACAAUACAUUAUUGAUAUUGUUACAGUCCUGCUACUAAAGGUAAAGAAGUGGUAGUGCUGACGGCGAGACACAGCCGGCAGGUGAUUAGAUUUCCCAGGUGGUACGUGUUAAUCUAAUCAUCUGUUGUCUUGAACAGUAAGCGGCCGGGAGCAGGAAGGGGAGAGAGGAUACGGACGUGACUGAAAAGUCACGUUCUGCGGAAGAAAGACUUUGAUAAAAACCUAUGUGCAUUAAAAACGUUUGGCUCAUGUGCCGUGUCUACAGCGGAACUGCUCGGAAGCGACUUCCGCAGUCUCGUUCAACGUGAGGCCAGCUAGAAGGCAACUCGUGAUCUGACCAAGGUGAAUACUGAUAAAUGUGGAAUGACAGCUCCAAAAACGAAUUCAAAACAAACUAAAAUAAAUCAACACAAAAAUGUGACACUUUAUGGGUGGGUCACACUAACGGUCCAGGUGAGUAUCCAAUCACAGGAUGCGUAAAUGUCACGUUCAAUGUGAGGCCAGCUAGAAGGCCUUACUGACAACAACUCGUGAUCUGAUUGACUAUCGCAACUGUCUAUCAACUGUAUGUUCACUUACACCCGCAUUGUUGAAUCUGAAGACCCCUGGCAGAUUUGGUACAGCAUGGCAACAUAAGCUAGCUGAAUUCUGAUUGGAUACAAACUAAAACUAAAAACAAUAGCACUAGAACGAGCAUAUAUAUGACAUGAAGAGAAUAUGAAUAAUUUUAGAUAUCUAGGGAAAGUAAAUUAAAUUUUUUUUUAAAUCUUUAAUUAUGAUCAUGAUUUGUGGUGAUGUUAGGCCAGCAGAGAAGGCCUCGCUGGCCCUGACGUCACACCACUCAGUAGCUCCAUUAAUGAUGACGUAAGCUUGACCGCUAACAAUGGCGCCAUUAGCUUGACUCUUAAAGCGACACAAAAAGGUCCUCGUCGAUCCGUCAGGAUUUAUGUUAGCCUGUGGCCCUGCCUCUCUGGCUAAGGCCACGUAAUGAGCUCCGGGAACGCCGAAAGGCUCCGGAAGGAUGAAUUGAAGGAGACGGCCGGUUGGCGAGCGUGAAACCCUCCAGAGGAUGCGUCACGGUGGAAAAAGCGAAGCUCUCGGCUAUGCUUGCUCAAAUAUUUCAUCCAUAUUUCAUAGGGAAACAUGGUGGAGAAGUGAGGAAAGUCCUUGGAAAGCACACUAAUGGAAGGAACUUCCUUAUAAGGCAUGACACGGGACAUGAAUCGGCAAUGAGUUUAAGGCCCACCUGUAGGGCUACAAAGGGUACGGUUUAUGGGGGCUGGGUAGCCAAGUUUUCGUUUACAAUGCUGGAUCUAUGCGAGCACCCUUUGAGGAAAAAAAAGAGGAAAACUGAUGAAAAAAAGAACAUUUCUAUCGACACCAAGUGCUGCCACGCAAGCCCCGAAAGAAAACUUUGAAAAUCAAGACUACUUUUCCUGAAAUUGAGUGCAUUUCUACACUAUAUAUUUUACCUUUAGAUUUAUUCUCCUCUCCCAACCUUUUUCACACUUACAUGUCCCAUGUAAUGUACCACAGAAUUGUUUGUAGAUAAUUAACUGACAUUAUUACCAUUCUGAAUAGAGAUGUCUGAUAAUGGCUUUUUUUGCUGAUAUCCCGAUAUUGUCCUACUCUUAAUUACCGAUUCCAAUAUCAACCGAUACCGAUAUAUACAGUCGUGGAAUUAACACAUUAUUAUGCCUCAUUUUGUUGUGAUGCCCCGCUGGAUGCAUUAAACAAUUGUCGGAGGCAGAUAUUUACAUAUAUCCGUAUUUAAGUGUUACUUCUUUAUUUUCAUAGUCAUAUUACAAAACAGCUAGUGUUCUUCCAAUUGUGGUCUUUUGGUUGUCUGCAAGUACUGUGUGCUAACCUUGACUUUAGGAAUGUAAGGAGGACAGAUACUCCUUUUCCUUAUCUGUUCCUGUGCCCAGCUGAGGAGGACAAUGGGCAUGUGUUUGGGCUGGAAAGAGAGACAACGAGGGUGGGAGCGAGAGACACUUUAUAGAAGAGAAGGUUUCCAUAUUUUAGAUCAGACCAUCUUAGCUGCGCGAUUGAAUGGUCUAUGCUGGACUGGUCUCAUUCUAUUUCCAAGGCUUUGGAAAUAAAAUU